This 119-nucleotide ribosomal RNA is filed under the name Pteropus alecto (black flying fox). Lineage: Eukaryota; Metazoa; Chordata; Mammalia; Chiroptera; Pteropodidae. The record is from RNAcentral.
GUAUACGGCCACGCCACCCCGAACCAGCCUGAUCCCGCCUGAUCUUGGAAGCUAAGCAGGGUCGGGCCUGGUUAGUACUUGGAUAGGAGACCAGCUAGGAAGACCAGGUGCUGUAGGCU